Molecule: long non-coding RNA, 7901 nt
Organism: Pangasianodon hypophthalmus (striped catfish)
Lineage: Eukaryota; Metazoa; Chordata; Actinopteri; Siluriformes; Pangasiidae
Exons: 4
Source: RefSeq, a predicted model, not a curated record
UCCCUAAUGAGCAACCCAGAGGUGAUGGUGGUAAGGAAAAACUCCCUGAGGCAACAAGAGGGAGAAACCUUGAUGCAGGAUAGUGUGAUUAUACUAUAAAGUCAAGCAGUGUAAGUGUGCUAAAAGGAACUUGACUAUGAGCAUCAUUACAAAUUUAAGUUUAAGUUUCCAACUGAAAUUAUCAACCGUUCAAUGGUGAUUUGAGUGUAAACAGUUCUUAGUGAUUUCUGAAAGAACAUCCACUGAAAGAACAUCCACAGCCAUCUUAAGGGUGUCUGUGUGGUACUAUGUGGCUUUUAGAACAAGUGGCCAACCACUCCACCAACAAACCUUAGUGAACUCAUAUGAGAGUGGGGGGCGGUAGCAUUCAAACAUUCCAGUUUACCAAAACACUCUAUGCCCAUAAACCCUCCAGAUCUGUGCCUUUACCGAAGAGAAAAGCUAAUUAACAAAAGGCCUAACUAAACAAAUAGGUUUUCAGCAUAGGCUUAAAGAUUCCAAACACAAUCCCAAACACAAAUUGGAAGACCAAAAUAUGCUCAGAAACUGUGGCCCAAGACCGAGAUAUUUCUGAGAUAAAAGAAGGGUAUUUUAGUAAUAUUACUACAGGAGCUUCAAAUGAGAGACUGGAGUCAAUAAUCACACUAAGACCUUUAAAUGCUGCACAUGAUGCAACUGAAAGACCAUCCAGAGACUACAAAUUUCUACUAUGUACAUCUACAAACUGAUAACAAUCAGUCAAAUAAGACCUGAGAGGAGAGAAAGAGUGUUGUUCUCUUAAAUCCAACAUUUUCUAGUCUAUCUAGAAAAAUGUUAUGAUCUAUGGUGUCAAAAGCUGCACUAAGUUCAAGCAACGCAAGCAAGGAGACACAGCCCUGAUCCGAGACCAGUAGUAGGUAAUUUAUUUUAACUAGUUGUGCCUCAGUGCUGUGAUGAGGCCUAAAUCCUGACUGAUAGAUUUCAUGAAUGUGAUUCCUAUGUAACUAUGAGAAUAACUGCUGUACCUUUUCUAGGAUCUUGGAGAUAAAAGGGAUGUUUGAUAUUGGCAGACAGAUUGGUUAGACAGUUGACGAGGGUCAAGGGCGGGGUUUUUAACCACGGGUUUUGAUAACUGCUAGUUUAAAGGAUUUAGGUACAUAGCCAGUACUAAGGGAAGAAUUGAUUAUUUUUAGAAGUGGUUUGAUUGCUUCUGGUAAUAUCUGUUUGAAGAAACCACAUAGUUCCUGUGACGUAGUUCCAGGUUUCGAAUUGUUUGCUGUGAGAUUCUUGCCAGUGUCGUCAUUUAAACUAUACCGUUUUUUUCUCUUUUCAUCAAUAAUUUUGUGCUGUUGUCUUCAUUUUUUUGUAUUUUUCACUUUCCCUUCUGCUGCAUUUUUUAUUUUCUCAAAGAAUGUUUUUAUUUUUUGUCUAAAGACAGCAAGUGAUGGCCAUCCAUGCCUGAUCCAUCUAAUAUAAUCUCAACAAAUCUUCGACUAAGGUAUGUUAAACACUCAACAUGGCAAACAUUCAGCUUGUUCAGUGUGUUGAGUGCAGAAUGUUUAGUCCUUGCUACUUUGUUAGUAGCUUUAUUUGUGAGAAGUGUAUAUUAGUUAGCCCUCUGAUGGAGAAGAUUGCAGCAUAGGUGCACAUCCAGACUCUAGAGAGGGGUAGCGAGAGUGAGAGCAGUGUAGUGUCUGUAGGGGAAAGUCUGGAUGCCUUAGGCAGAGUUAGUAAUCCCCCCAGCUCCAGCAUUAGAGCCCUCACAGUGGGGUGAAUGGGUGAUGACUCGGCGGCAUAAUCCAAAAGCCAAAGCUAACGCUAAGUCUCGCCCAUGGGAGCACCACUCCUCUCCGCUUCACGUGUCUAACAGGUUUGCUCUCUUCAGUGAAGCACUCGCUGAGAAACCUGAAAGAGUUCUGGUUAUAGAAGACUCUAUCUUAAGGCAUGUGAAAUUAGCUAGGCCUUUAGGGGCACCAGCAGCUUUAGUUAGGUGUAUACAGGGAGCCAGGCCAUCUGACAUAGCAGAUAAUCUUAAAGUCUUAGACAAGCAUAGGCUUUCAAAGAUAGUUAUUCAUGUAGGAGAUAAUGAUAUACACCUUUGUCAGUCAGAGGUUACUAAGAAUAACAUUGUAGAGGUGUGUAAAUUAGUGAAGGCGAUGUCCGAUGCAGUAGUAAGCUCUGGCCCCAUCCCGAUGUGGUGUGGCGAUGUAGAUUGCAGCAGAUUAUGGUCACUGAACUGCUGGAUGUCCAGGUGAUGCUCCGAAAACAAUGUGGGCUUUAUAUAUAAUUGGAAUAGUUUUAUAAUAAUAAUAAUAAAACUUUAUUUUAUAUAGCACCUUUAAAAAGGACUCUCAAGGUGCUUUACAUAGGAAAAGAAAAUAGAACCAGAAGUACAUAGCAUAAAACAAGGUAUAUAAUAACAAUAGUUAAUAUAAUAAUAAUAUAGUAAUAAUUGUUAACUGUAAUAAUUUUGAGGGCAAGGCUGGCCUGUUAGGGCAGGACUGUCAAAUUUACAUGGAAUUGGUUAAAGAAACACAAAAUCAGUGUUUUCUAGUGCCCCUCUCAGUCUUUGAAUCAUACUGAAAACCUGCGGUCUGAAUUGAAGAGGGAAGUCUGUGUGCACAAACCUAAGAAUAUAAAGGAUCUUAAAAUGCAUGAUUGAGUGGACCAAGGGCAGGUGUCACAAAAUAUUAAUUGUAAAUGUGGCAAUAAUUUUGAAACCAAUGUGUUGUAGAAAAAAGUCUGCACUACAUAAAAAAACAUAUGUGUUUCUUAUAAACAUGUUUAAAAGAAACAAUACACUGUUUGAGCUAAAAAAAAUAAAUAAAUAAAUAAAUCAGCUAUUUAAGGCUGCUGAUACAACUGGGGCAAGCAGGCAUUUGACCAACCAAUUUUCAAAGUACUGAGACAAAGCCCCAGCACUGUUUGGUUCAGUUAAAGUUGAUUUUAUGGGGGAAUAAUUUCUCCCUAAACACUUGAAGAACUGACCUAUAGACAAGAACUGGCAGAUAGUUAGAUGUAGAACCAAUCAAAAUCUCCUUCUCAAUUUGGGGGCAGGACAUUUCCCCAAAAGCAUAUGCUGUGAAGCUGUUCAGUGUGACGACUGCUGCAUCUCACUAAUUUGGUAAAUGUUUUUACUGUGAAGCACAAACUAAGUCAGUCAGUUCAGAUUUUAGUACCCUUUUGCUGUUAUAAUAACCUCCACUCUUCUAGGCUUUCACCUAGGUUUUGCCCAUGCAACCACAAGAGCAUUAGUGAGGUCAGGCGCUUAUGUCGAGUGAGAAGGCCUGGGCAAAGUUGGCAUUUCAGUUCAUCCCAAAGGUGUUCAGUGGUUGAGGUUAGGGCUCUGUGCAGGCCACUCGAGUUCUUCCACUCUAAACUUAUCAAACCAUGUCUUCAUGGACCUCGCUGGACCUCGGGACACUGGAACAUAUUUGGGCUAGACCUCUUUGUUCCAGUGAAGGGAAACUUAAUGCUACAGCAUACAAAGAUACAUUCUAGAUAAUUGUUUGCUUUGUGGUAACAGUUGGCUCAUUUAUGGGUUUGAUGAUCCGGUGAACACAAUCUUUUAUUGGAGCAAAAAUAUAAAAUAUAUUUAUAUAUGGAAUAUACCUUUGAGUUUAUAUUGCUUACUUUUAUUAUGUUUACAGCAUUUCGCAGGCACCCUUAUCCAGAGUGACCUACGGAAGUGCUUUGUAUUCUCUAUCAAGAACACAUCCUCAUACUACAGUAGUUCACUAGUUCAGGGACUAAGAGUACCAUCAAGAAAAUUUUGUGAAAACCAGUCUUUUAUAUUAUUGGCAUUAACUAAAUCAAAAAAAUUAAAUGUGAAAAUUAAAGAAAACAAGCCAACAUAAACCCAUAAAUUAAGACAUAUAAAACGAAUCAUUCAAUUAUGACAAAAAAAUGCCAGUCAGUCUAUGCAUAGCUGUAAGCCAUAAACGAAUGCCCCAGCUGAUAAAUAGCUUAACUGUUUUAAGCUACUCGUAUCAUGUAGACAUAAUAACAGUUUUUUUUUUUUUUUAUUGAAUCACCACCACUUUUGGAUGUGUGUUGCCACCGCUGCACUAAUUGCUUAUAUUCAUCUUAUUUACAGUUCUUUUGCUAAUUUAGAUGAAUGGUGGCAAUAUUCUUACACAUUAACAAACAACCAUACAUUACAUAGCACUCUUGUUUGCUAGAGUUACGAUUUAAACUGCUAUUACUUUUUCCUCUGGAAAAUAGGACAUUUAGGCUGGAUACCAAUGUAAAUGUCCCCAUUAUCCUGCACUAAUGUAAACCCUGUACCCCACUGUUGCUAAUGCAAUAAAAAGGGACAUAAUAUUGACAACCCCUUUAGUUGCAGGCUCCACUAUUCUGUGAAGUUUUUUUUUUCUGGAAAUAUGCCUGUGGGCAUUUACUUCCAUUCCACAAGAGCAUUAGUGAGUUCAGGCACUGAUGUUGGAUGAUAAGGCCUAGCAUGUAGUUGGCUUUUAAAGAGGUAAAGAUCUGGAAUCAGUUAAGUAUUUCCAUACUAAACUCAGCAAAAUGUUUGUUUAUGGGCCUUAAUGGACUCGUGCAUGAGACAAUGCACUGAAUAAAACUGUGAGACAAGACAUAUGUUAUACAAUGUUUUAUUACAGGGUAAUUAAAUGUGUAGCAUAAGCAAUGGAGGACAGGAAAAAAAAAGGGAAAAGAAAGAGCCAGACUUCCUGAUACACUGACUGUUUAAACUGUUUAAAAAAAUUUACCCUUGACCCAAGAGCAAUGACCAAUAUAAAUGUUCUUUUCCUGAAUUUCCAUGAUUAACCAUUAGUGAUAGUACAUCUUAAAAAUUUAACUUACACUAUGUGCCAGGGGCAUUGUUAUCCCCAGACCAUUAUUCCUCCCCUACAAAUGGCUACUUGCAUUCGAGCAGGUAGCAUUCUCCUGACAUGUACCAAAUUCAGAUUUGUCAGUCAGUAUGCCAGAUCCUGAAACAUGAUUCAUCCAGAGAACAUUUUUACACUAGUCCAGGGUCCAAUAGUGGUGUGCUUUACACCAUCUCAGUCAUAUCUUGGGAUUACACUCAGUAAUCUUUGUGGCUGCUCAGCCUUGGAAACCCAAUUGAUGGAACCAGCGUUGAAUUUACACCUUUUGAGUAGGGGUGAGGGGUGCAUUUGGGAAGGUAAUGUGAUUAUGUUUGUGUUUUGAAAAUGCUUAUGUUUUAAGAAAUGUCAAAAAUGACUAUGUAUAUUUAAAAGCGCAGUGCAUAUGCAAAUCAUGAUUGACAGUAGCUAUGUUUUAUAAAAACAAAUACUAAAAGGUUUACAUUUAUUUACUAAAACAUAGCGAUUAAUAAGAGAAAGCAAGAGAGUAUUUACUGCAGAUGUGGCAUCUAAUAUUUCCACCCUGAACAAAUGGCAUAUUUUGAAAUAGGCUAUCAGCAUUGUUUACAUUCAUCAGUACAGUGAGACAGCUACUUGUCUUUCAGGUUUCUCUAACUAUUAUUCCUAUAUACCAGCUAUAAAAUACCACUACUGUGAGUGUAGUGAAUGAACUGGAAACACAGGAGCUGUACUUGAGUCCAUCUCACAUUCAAACACAUGAUCAAAAGUAAUUAUCAUACACCUGUCAAAAACAACACCAUAUAAUACUUGUCAAAUAAAGAGGGAAAACACAGAACCUAAAUAGGGUAACUAAUUAGGGGAACACAAAACAGGAGUGCACAAACACAGGGCGUGGGGCAGACAACAAAUGAAGAAAUUCAAAAAAUGUGAGUAAGCAUGCCCUCUGGUCAUCUGGGGGGGUUGUCCAAGGUGAACAUGACAACAACAUCUUGGUUUCAUCAGACUGUUGAAGUCAUGAUCCGCAAGGGUGUCUAUUUUACAAAAGUUAAUCAUAUCUCAAAGAAACAACUAAUGUGCGAUUUAUGAUCAAAUAGACCUGUGUUAUUACAGCUCUUCUUAGUGUCAAAAUAAGUCACAAGGAAAAUGUAUAUCUGAUAUACUAACAAUUUAUUUUUGUAAAAUAAUUUUAAAAGUAAUACACAUUAAUUAGUUUUGCAUGAAUUACACAGUAUCAAACUGUGGUCCAUGGUCCAUAACUAGUGGUUAGGCCACAGCACUCUCACUGCUGCAUCCUGGGUUUGAUUCCUGGCCAGGGCAUUGACCCCAGCCACUGGGGUUGUGUGCAAUAGUGCACUCUCAGCACCGUUCCCAAGCCCAGGUAAAAAUUGGGGAGGGUUGCCUCAGGUAGGACAUCCGGCAUAAAUCUGUACCAAAUCAAAUACACAGACCAAUAAUUCACUGUGGCGACCCCUAAUGGGAGCAGCUGAAAGAGGAACAACAACGACACAGUAUCAAACUGCAUUUAAGGUACAAUGAUUUACUUUUGAUGGCCACACUGUGAUUUUAUGGUAAGUAACUGUAUUAAGACAAGAUAACAUUAUAUUGAUCCCAAGGGGAAAUUAGAGAGCUGCUGCAACAGGCUGCAGAUGGCAUGGUGCCAUCAGAACAGGUCAACGGUUUACUACUGAUAACCCUUGUGCGGUUCUUGGAUCUAAGUGAUGUUUAUUAUUAUUAGUAUAAGAAAAAUAUAGAACUAAUCAUUUGUAAACCUAAAACACAGUGGACUCAGCUUAUUUUCUCUGAUGAACAUGUACAACACCAAAACAAAUUUGAACACUCAUCCUACACCCUCCUAUACGUUUAGUCAGUUUUACCGGAGGGUAAUAAAUGGUUGAAAAGAGUACUUGAAAACAGAUCGGUCAUGGUAAAUAUGAAAUUAAAACAUGAGUUCAUAUGAAAGUCACAAGGUAAGGCACUUGUGACCCCACAUAUCCAGAGAAGAGAACCCUCAGUCCUGAACAUCUGCAGUCAUGGUGAGAAGGAUUAAGGAGGAGGUUCCUAUUGCCCCAAACUGCACGUGCCAGCCACCACUUCCAGUGCCUAAAGUAAGUGUGUGUGACUUUUUUGUGUGUGUGUUUGUGUGUGUGUGUGUGUGCGUACAUCUGUAAACAUUUUAGGUGUAUUAGGUAUCUAACAAAGACUUUUCACCAUUGUAGGUGGCAGCUGGGCAAAAAAAAAGGAGCGUUGCCAGGAUUUUGUACCAGCAAAGGGCACUAAAACACCUUCUACAUAGACAGAAAGAACAGUGAAAAACAAACAUAGCUGACCUUCAACUGGGAAGGAGUGGAGACACAGAGAAAAAGAAAGAAAGAAGGUGGUUUAGGGAGCAACGAGUUCCGCAAAAUGGGGGAUGAACUUGUGGUACCAGCCCGCCAGGCUUAAGAAGCUUUGCAGCGCUUUAAUAUCAUGCUGUAGCGGGAAGUCGGGUGCCAUGUGGAAAAACAUUUCAUCUUUACCAUCUGAAAAAACUGAGAACGACACUGUGAUAAAGCAGUUUCCAAAUGCCUGCGAGCCCUCAUUCGCAGAAAAGGCAACAAUGAGUUGUACUCAGAGAAAAAUGACCCUCCACUUGAAGGAUGAAGAUGGUAACAUUUAAGUUUUUCAAUUUCCGUGUUUGGUUCAACGAUUUGCAGGCUUAACUUGAGUUUUUGAAAAAUGCACUUUAUUCAUCUCUGCACUUUGUUGUUUUUUUAGUAACUUCUGUUUUUUUUGUGCAGAAAAUUGCAUUGUGAUGCAUUCUUAUUUCACACUGAUAGGGUAUUCAUAGUGUACUUUUCAGUAAUACAGGUAUAACUGAAAUGUGCUACAAAUUGUUUAAAGUAGCUCUGUCAUAUCAUUUCACUGAUCUUUAUUUUAUUUUAAUGUAUUUGGUCAAGAGAUGCUGUGCUUUUUAAUGUAUACAAUGAAUUUAUUUUUGUAAGGUAAACAACAAGAUAUAGUACAUUAAAGUUUUCUAGUUUUCAAAAUUGUAUGUGUUUUAAAAUAUAUAUUUUUUCUGAUUUUUAUGGUACUGUAGGGGCAUUUUGCACUGUAUUUUUAAUACAAUAUUAAGAC